AUGAACGCUGGCGGCGUGCCUAACACAUGCAAGUCGAACGGAGUCCAGCCUUUAAGACCUUCGGGUCAAAGAGGGGAAGACUGAGUGGCGGACGGGUGAGUAACACGUGGGCAACCUGGCUCAUAGAGGGGGAUAACAGAGAGAAAUUUCUGCUAAUACCGCAUAAGCACACACUGCCGCAUGGCAGAGGGUGAAAAGAGAAUCGCUAUGAGAUGGACCCGCGUCUGAUUAGCCAGUUGGCAGGGUAAGAGCCUACCAAAGCGACGAUCAGUAGCCGAUCUGAGAGGAUGAACGGCCACAUUGGGACUGAGACACGGCCCAAACUCCUACGGGAGGCAGCAGUGGGGGAUAUUGCACAAUGGGGGGAACCCUGAUGCAGCGACGCCGCGUGAGUGAAGAAGUAUUUCGGUAUGUAAAGCUCUAUCAGCAGGUAAGAUAAUGACAGUACCUGAAUAAGAAGCCCCGGCUAACUACGUG
This 477-nucleotide ribosomal RNA is filed under the name uncultured bacterium. RNAcentral describes it as "partial 16S ribosomal RNA". It matches the Rfam family "Bacterial small subunit ribosomal RNA", at positions 30 to 507 of the family's 1533-position model. The record is from RNAcentral.